RNAcentral lists this ribosomal RNA (442 nucleotides) under uncultured Enterobacteriaceae bacterium. Its description in RNAcentral is "bacterial SSU rRNA". It matches the Rfam family "Bacterial small subunit ribosomal RNA", at positions 939 to 1382 of the family's 1533-position model. Lineage: Bacteria; Pseudomonadati; Pseudomonadota; Gammaproteobacteria; Enterobacterales; Enterobacteriaceae. The record is from RNAcentral.
GUGUGGUUUAAUUCGAUGCAAGCCGAAGAACCUUACCUACUCUUGACAUCCAGAGAAUUUGCUAGAGAUGCUUAGUGCCUUCGGGAACUCUGAGACAGGUGCUGCAUGGCUGUCGUCAGCUCGUGUUGUGAAAUGUUGGUUAAGUCCGCAACGAGCGCAACCCUUAUCCUUUGUUGCCAGCGAGUAAUGUCGGGAACUCAAAGGAGACUGCCGGUGAUAAACCGGAGGAAGGUGGGAUGACGUCAAGUCAUCAUGGCCCUUACGAGUAGGGCUACACACGUGCUACAAUGGCAUAUACAAAGAGAAGCGAACUCGCGAGAGCAGGCGGACCUCAUAAAGUAUGUCGUAGUCCGGAUUGGAGUCUGCAACUCGACUCCAUGAAGUCGGAAUCGCUAGUAAUCGCGGAUCAGCACGCCCGCGGUCGAAUACGUUCCCGGGCCUU